AGACCCGAAACCCGGUGAUCUAGCCAUGGGCAGGUUGAAGGUUGGGUAACACUAACUGGAGGACCGAACCGACUAAUGUUGAAAAAUUAGCGGAUGACCUGUGGCUGGGGGUGAAAGGCCAAUCAAACCGGGAGAUAGCUGGUUCUCCCCGAAAGCUAUUUAGGUAGCGCCUCGUGAAUUCAUCUCCGGGGGUAGAGCACUGUUUCGGCUAGGGGGCCAUCCCGGCUUACCAACCCGAUGCAAACUGCGAAUACCGGAGAAUGUUAUCACGGGAGACACACGGCGGGUGCUAACGUCCGUCGUGAAGAGGGAAACAACCCAGACCGCCAGCUAAGGUCCCAAAGUCAUGGUUAAGUGGGAAACGAUGUGGGAAGGCCCAGACAGCCAGGAUGUUGGCUUAGAAGCAGCCAUCAUUUAAAGAAAGCGUAAUAGCUCACUGGUCGAGUCGGCCUGCGCGGAAGAUGUAACGGGGCUAAACCAUGCACCGAAGCUGCGGCAGCGAACGUAUCACCCAAGACAACUUUACGGAGUUGACGAUUGACGGAGCGAAGCGACGUCAAAGCGUUCAUUAAAGUCGAGUUGGCUUAGGGAUACGUUCGUUGGGUAGGGGAGCGUUCUGUAAGCCUGUGAAGGUGUGUCGUGAGGCAUGCUGGAGGUAUCAGAAGUGCGAAUGCUGACAUAAGUAACGAUAAAGCGGGUGAAAAGCCCGCUCGCCGGAAGACCAAGGGUUCCUGUCCAACGUUAAUCGGGGCAGGGUGAGUCGACCCCUAAGGCGAGGCCGAAAGGCGUAGUCGAUGGGAAACGGGUUAAUAUUCCCGUACUUGGUGUUACUGCGAAGGGGGGACGGAGAAGGCUAUGUUGGCCGGGCGACGGUUGUCCCGGUUUAAGCGUGUAGGUGUGUGUUCCAGGUAAAUCCGGUUCACUUUAACACUGAGGCGUGAUGACGAGGCACUACGGUGCUGAAGCAACAAAUGCCCUGCUUCCAGGAAAAGCCUCUAAGCAUCAGGUAACAUCAAA
RNAcentral lists this ribosomal RNA (1017 nucleotides) under Salmonella enterica subsp. enterica. RNAcentral describes it as "partial 23S ribosomal RNA". It matches the Rfam family "Bacterial large subunit ribosomal RNA", at positions 711 to 1641 of the family's 2925-position model. RNAcentral also lists the same sequence under 1 other name. Lineage: Bacteria; Pseudomonadati; Pseudomonadota; Gammaproteobacteria; Enterobacterales; Enterobacteriaceae. The record is from RNAcentral.